UGACAAAAUCUCUCUGUCAUGGUUACC
This 27-nucleotide non-coding RNA is filed under the name Homo sapiens (human). Lineage: Eukaryota; Metazoa; Chordata; Mammalia; Primates; Hominidae. The record is from RNAcentral.